This is a small nuclear RNA of Mesocricetus auratus (golden hamster), 106 nucleotides long. The record is from Ensembl. Lineage: Eukaryota; Metazoa; Chordata; Mammalia; Rodentia; Cricetidae.
GUGCUUGCUUCAGCAGCACAUAUACUAAAAAAUUGGAACAAUACAGAGAUUAUUAAGGCCCCUGCAUAAGGGUGACUCACAAAUUCGUGAAACAUUUUGUAUUUUU